This 459-nucleotide ribosomal RNA is filed under the name uncultured bacterium. RNAcentral's name for it is "partial 16S ribosomal RNA". It matches the Rfam family "Bacterial small subunit ribosomal RNA", at positions 338 to 795 of the family's 1533-position model. The record is from RNAcentral.
CCUACGGGAGGCUGCAGUGAGGAAUAUUGGUCAAUGGGAGAGAUCCUGAACCAGCCAAGCCGCGUGAGGGAAGACGGCCCUAUGGGUUGUAAACCUCUUUUGUCGGAGAACAAAACCCGGGACGUGUCCCGGACUGCGUGUAUCCGAAGAAAAAGCAUCGGCUAACUCCGUGCCAGCAGCCGCGGUAAUACGGAGGAUGCGAGCGUUAUCCGGUUUUAUGGGGGUUAAAGGGUGCGUAGGCGGUCCGUUAAGUCAGCGGGAAAAUUGCGGGGCUCAACCCCGUCGAGCCGUUGAAACUGGCAGACUUGAGUGGGCGAGAAGUACGCGGAAUGCGCGGUGUAGCGGUGAAAUGCAUAGAUAUCGCGCAGAACACCGAUUGCGAAGGCAGCGUACCGGCGCCAGACUGACGCUGAGGCACGAAAGCGUGGGGAUCGAACAGGAUUAGAUACCCCAGUAGUC